GCACAUUAUAGGUAAAGAUAUAGGUAAAUAAUACAAGGAAAAAAUAUGUAGCUUAAUAAAAGCAAUACUGAGUAUUGCCUGACCCAGUCUGACCUGAGUUUAAAAAUGUACUGUUUAAUUUACAUGGACUGUCUUUUCAGCUGGUAAAGAUUCACCCAGGCUAAAGCAAUUAAUAUUCUCCAUACAAUGUAAACACUAUCUGAAAACAUUAUUGUCUUAGUUAUAUCUCAGUUUGCAUUCAGACCGUGAUGAUACCAAACCUGUUUUUCAUUCAUGUUUUUAAAAAUACUGAAUAUAGACAAGCAAAUUCAUGCUUGCUAUUUAUGAUUUUAUGCUCUUGUAGUUCUCUUCCAAUCUGUAAGGACCUAUAGAGUCUUCUCAUAAAUCCAUUGGAACUUCAAUGUCCAGUGCCAUAUUAGAUACUGUAUGUGUCUCCCUGCUGAAUUUCUCCUUGCUAAAUAACAUGAUAGAGAUUUUAAAUCAUUUAGAUCUAUGAAAAGUCUGAGUGAUGAAAAGAGUCAGGUUGGAUAAAUGAACUUUGUCUGUGGGAAAAACAUGCUAGUGAUCAGUUUUCUCAGCCUCAAACUGUACUUCUUCAUUACUAGAAGGCUAUUUUGGGUAAAUUUUCUACCAUACUUGAAAGGGGAUCUCUGUUCUGUUAUAGAUGAUGUAUGGGUCCUUCCUGGGAAUGAAGGCAAGGGAUAUUGUGUUUGGGGUUUAUCAGUGAUUACUACACAGGUUAGAUAGACAGCUGCCUGUCACAAGUCAACAUCAAUGUGAGGAUCCACCCACAUAACUAAAUAUGUAUAAAGCUCUUGGUCUAUGAGUCAUAGUUUUACUUACUAUAGUACUGAACUGAGGAAAACAGGCAGUAAGGCUUUGAUGAAUGCUCACCUUCAUGUCCUACAGAAAUUCUCCUACAUAAAUAUUUUAUUUAGUUGAAAUUAAAAAAAAAAAACGUAUUAUAUUUUUUCUACUGUUCUGUACAAAUGGUAUUUGGACUGUAAAAUAUUGACUGCAAAUUCACAUCUGGCUAAGCUCAACAUUUGUCUUUGUGUGCUUCAUUUUAUUUUUUCUUUAAAGGAUUUUGGGUUUGAGGGUAAGAAUGAUAAAGUGCUGACAUUUAUAAGAACAUUUCAUUAUUAUUGUUUGUAUUUGAUAAAAAUAUAUGAUUGAACUUUACAAAUAAAAUCCUGUCUUCCUUGAGCAACUCCGGUUUAUAAUGGGAAGACUGACAUACCAUUUUCUGCAGUGUUCUUAUUAUUUUGAGGAAAAAAAAAUCAGAUAAAAUUCCAGUUCAAGAUAUUUUUCGUUUCAGUAACGAGCAGAGAAAAAAGAUCAACUACAGGUAAACUAUAAUCAUGGUAUAAGAACUCAGAAAUGAAUUCUUUUAAAAUACAUAUUGACACCACGCUAGCCAUUGCUCAUCUGUUGGUAGUGAUUGAUACAUGCUAGUUUGGCUAAAUGAAAGCCACCUAUGCCUCAACUUCUUCUACUUAGAGUAAGUGUCAUAAAGACAUUAAGAGUACAGAAUGUAUACCUUUGAAUCUGGAAAUGCCCCUUUUUUGAGAACAAUGCAAGAAGAGUCAUUCCCAGUGUUAAAGUUGUAGAAGGACCACUGCAAGGACAGAAGGGACAAACAGUGAGCCUUGGUGGCAACAUGCAAAAUGCACGACUUCAACUCAGCUUUACCACAGAGUCAGGUAAGAUAAAAUAGGAUAUGAAAAAACUAAUAAGAAUCCAUGAAGAUUCCACUAAUGUAAAUGUCAAUAAUAGAAUGAUAUUCUUAUAGAUAUAUUUAUGUGGAUAACACAAAAGAUGGAUGGGGAUAUGCAAAAGAUGUACUGGAAUAUCUGCCCAGAUGAAUGCAGCCAACAUGCUGACACAAACUUUUUAGAGCGUUGUCACUCACCCAUUGCUUGUGUCAACUCUUCCUUCCAGAUUGGGAAGCUUCCACAGCAUAUUCUGAUCCAUGGUGUGGAAUAGGCUUCUUAGGCCAGUGUGGCUGCAACUGGCAAAGAGCAGCCUUCUUCAGAGUUUUAGAAUGAUAGAUAUCAAAAGUCAUACCAACCUGUUUUCCAGAAGAUGGUGUGCAGCAGGGAUUGUUCUAUCUGAGCUGCUAAGGUUUUUCAUUAGCCCAGAAGAGAGAAAGUAACCCGAAGGCCUUGCGCCCAACUUGCAACUGAGUAACCUAUGCUGACAUAGAUAUAAUUGCAAAUCAGAAUUUGGCCUAAAACCUC
This is a long non-coding RNA of Gallus gallus (chicken), 2240 nucleotides long. NCBI's taxonomy places the organism in Eukaryota, Metazoa, Chordata, Aves, Galliformes, Phasianidae. The record is from Ensembl.